RNAcentral lists this long non-coding RNA (228 nucleotides) under Hordeum vulgare. RNAcentral's name for it is "long non-coding RNA (HVUL_LNC013447)". The record is from RNAcentral. Lineage: Eukaryota; Viridiplantae; Streptophyta; Magnoliopsida; Poales; Poaceae.
GGAAUCGGACGGGUUGGUUCCAUCCCUAGCAGCCGUUCUCGUGUUUAGUUGGGUUAGGAAUCGGAAUUGAGUCAUCCGCAUGCAGGGAAUAUUCCCUCUAGAUGCUUCACCAAGUGAUUCCACCGAUUUGGAGGAAUCGACUCGUUAUUCGUCCGAGAAAGCAAAGAAAAAAAAAUAACCAAGCAAUUCUCACCGCGUUCACCCCCGCACCCGAACAAAAGUUUUCGU